UGAGGAAUAUUGGUCAAUGGACGCAAGUCUGAACCAGCCACGUCGCGUGAAGGAAGACGGCCCUAUGGGUUGUAACUUCUUUUGUAAGGGAAUAAAAGGAGUCACGAGUGACUUAUUGCAUGUACCUUACGAAUAAGGAUCGGCUAACUCCGUGCCAGCAGCCGCGGUAAUACGGAGGAUCCGAGCGUUAUCCGGAUUUAUUGGGUUUAAAGGGUGCGCAGGCGGGAGAUUAAGUCGGCGGUGAAAUUUUGCAGCUUAACUGUAAAAGUGCCAUCGAUACUGGUUUUCUUGAGUGUGGAUGAAGUAGGCGGAAUUUGUGGUGUAGCGGUGAAAUGCAUAGAUAUCACAAGGAACACCGAUUGCGCAGGCAGCUUACUAAACCAUAACUGACGCUCAGGUACGAAGGCGUGGGGAUCAAACAG
This 422-nucleotide ribosomal RNA is filed under the name uncultured bacterium. RNAcentral describes it as "bacterial SSU rRNA". It matches the Rfam family "Bacterial small subunit ribosomal RNA", at positions 355 to 775 of the family's 1533-position model. The record is from RNAcentral.